This is a long non-coding RNA of Pseudopipra pipra, 2271 nucleotides long. RefSeq lists it as uncharacterized. The record is from RefSeq and is a predicted model, not a curated record. The transcript has 2 exons. NCBI's taxonomy places the organism in Eukaryota, Metazoa, Chordata, Aves, Passeriformes, Pipridae.
GAAUGGCGGAGGGAGCGGGCCCGCCCCGGCCCGCCGCGCUGCCCGCGGUGCUGCGGCGCCCUCCGGCGGCCGCAGGGGGAGCGGCGGGCAGGGCAGCGGCCCCGUGCGGCACCGGCGGCCUUCCGCCCUCCCGAGGGGUGUGUCGCUCACCCCGAUAAAAAAAAUGUAAAAAAAUGCACAGCGUGCAUGAGAUAUGUGAAGGGGGAAAAUAGUAGUCUUAAACCAGCCGCAAGACCGGACACAUGCAAACUGAAGAGCAGCCGCAUAGAGGUGAGGUAUUCAACAAUCCUCUGCUUUCCUCCACUCACUCUCGGUCUCUGAAGAAAUGUAAAUGUCAUCAAAUCCAGGUAUUCUCUGGAGACAAUGGAUACAGCUCUGAGGUAGUAUCAUGUACAGUGAUGGAAGAACAAGACUACCAUGAAUGCUGGGGCUGGGGGGGAUAUACCCACCGAAAGGAAAAAGGGAAAAGAAGGUUAAGCCCUGAAGAAUGUCUCACCACUGUUGUGGUGACAUCUCCUCCUCCUUUACAUUUUGGGGUUUGUUUUAAGGAAUAUUUGAAUGGCAUAACAGAAAUCUAAAAAAAGCCUGUGCAUAUAGCAGAGCUGAAGGAUUAUAUAGAUAACACAGCAGUGAUCUCUGGUACAGCUGUAAUUUAAUUCUGUAAUUUAAUUCUAUUUCAAGCUCUCCAACAAAAGAAAAUCCAAUGGGUUUCUUUCCUCUGUCUUUUUAUGAAUGAAAAAGGCCUGAGGGUUGGGUUAUUUGUAUUUUAAUAGGAAUGGUUUAGGAAUGCUGUUCUUUUCUACCAGCAGGCUGGGGAUCUGGCAGCACUGGAGCAAAACAGAGCUGAGUCCAGGCACCAAACUACACUAAACUUUGCUUCAGAGUUUGUAGGAGCACUGACCAGGAAAAGGACAAGAGGAGGGAGUCAGCAUUUCUUACAUUUUUCUAGGAGAGCAGAUACUGUACUUCAACUGUCUCACAAAUCUCAGGGGCUUUUUCCUACCAGUGCUCUAGCACGGACAUGAGCAGCUUGCCUUUGCAGAGACCUACUGUCCUGAAGCAGCCUAAGCAAGUCAGACCUGACAACAGGGUCUAAAGACAAAGCAAGGUUACUGGAAAAGCAGAGGUGAUAAGUGCUGCUGUACUUCCUGAAGAGUAGGAGACUGGAACAUGAGACAUGUCUAUGAAAGAUUCUUCCUAUAGGAGUUGGUAUACACAGAAGAAAAUAGCAUUUCCAAGCUUAAGUGUGUAGAUUAGAAGGUUUUUUUGGCUGUAAUUCAAACACAGUGACAAGGUUUAGUACAGAAGAUAUUACUUCCUAAUACUUGUCAGUGUAAAAAAGACUUUGGGAGACAGGAGAAGAAAGAAGAUGGGAUAUCAUUUAAGUCUCUAAGGACCUCACAACUGCUGUUUCUACAUUUAUGUUCUGCUCUUUCUGUAUCUCUGCAAUGUCUCUGAAAUGGGGAAUUGCACCUACCCCCAUUUAACUAAUCACAAAAUCAUGACUGCAGAGACCAAUACCUAGAUUCUCAAAGUCACACAGAAGUAUAUAUUCCGCUGAUAUAAAUAAGAUGGGAAUGUGAAAAAAAGACUCAAUCUUCACUGGAAUUAAUUAUUUCAGACAUAAUGAAAAUCCACACAAGUGGUGAUAUCACACAGCCUUUCAUUACGGACUCCGUGCUUUACCAAGUGAGCCACUACCAAGUUAUAACUGCAUUUUAGCGGGGAUCUGAAACUGUAGACAUGUUAAAAGUGAUCAGAAUAAAACAUUCUGAGCUGUCCAGUGAGCAUUAAAAUAAUGAGCUGCUGCUUAUCACCUGUUGGAUCCCAAAUUCAUAUAUCUGCAGAAAGGAAUUUGAGUGGUCUCAGCAAAAGGGUGUGGGCUACAAGAGCUGGGGCAAAAACCUCAGUUUAAGAAGCAAAUGGGACAUCACCAGUGUGGAGUGCCCUGCCUAAGCCAGAGAGAUCAUACCCUGAUGUUAUCAAGCGUCUGCAGAAGACCUAUUGUGUUUUAUCUCUCCUUUUGUGUUACCUAUUCCCUCCAUGUAAUUCCCCUAAGAUAAAGUGGGUUUUCCCCUAUAGUGUAAGUGUUAAGACCCCAAAAUUUGUAAACUUGGGUUUUCCCCUUUACCUCAUCUCUGUAAAACCCCCAAUUUGUAAUAGGCCAACCCCCCAAUGAAUAUGUAAAUCCCCUGUUGAAUACGUAGACCCUAAACCUUUUAAAUAUCAACUUGUAAGUCCAAUAAAGCAUUCCAGUUUCUCGCCUCCACU